UACGAAGGGGGCUAGCGUUGUUCGGAAUUACUGGGCGUAAAGCGCACGUAGGCGGAUCGAUCAGUCAGGGGUGAAAUCCCGGGGCUCAACCCUGGAACUGCCUUUGAUACUGUCGAUCUGGAGUAUGGGAGAGGUGAGUGGAAUUCCGAGUGUAGAGGUGAAAUUCGUAGAUAUUCGGAGGAACACCAGUGGCGAAGGCGGCUCACUGGUCCAUUACUGACGCUGAGGUGCGAAAGCGUGGGGAGCAAACAGG
RNAcentral lists this ribosomal RNA (253 nucleotides) under uncultured bacterium. Its description in RNAcentral is "partial 16S ribosomal RNA". It matches the Rfam family "Bacterial small subunit ribosomal RNA", at positions 524 to 776 of the family's 1533-position model. The record is from RNAcentral.